Molecule: ribosomal RNA, 440 nt
Filed under: Achromobacter insolitus
Lineage: Bacteria; Pseudomonadati; Pseudomonadota; Betaproteobacteria; Burkholderiales; Alcaligenaceae
Description: bacterial SSU rRNA
Rfam family: Bacterial small subunit ribosomal RNA
Source: RNAcentral
UGAACGCUAGCGGGAUGCCUUACACAUGCAAGUCGAACGGCAGCACGGACUUCGGUCUGGUGGCGAGUGGCGAACGGGUGAGUAAUGUAUCGGAACGUGCCCAGUAGCGGGGGAUAACUACGCGAAAGCGUAGCUAAUACCGCAUACGCCCUACGGGGGAAAGCAGGGGAUCGCAAGACCUUGCACUAUUGGAGCGGCCGAUAUCGGAUUAGCUAGUUGGUGGGGUAACGGCUCACCAAGGCGACGAUCCGUAGCUGGUUUGAGAGGACGACCAGCCACACUGGGACUGAGACACGGCCCAGACUCCUACGGGAGGCAGCAGUGGGGAAUUUUGGACAAUGGGGGAAACCCUGAUCCAGCCAUCCCGCGUGUGCGAUGAAGGCCUUCGGGUUGUAAAGCACUUUUGGCAGGAAAGAAACGUCGUGGGUUAAUACCCCGCG